GGUUCCGUAGCUCAGCUGGAUAGAGCAACAGCCUUCUAAGCUGUGGGUCCGGGGUUCGAAUCCCCGCGGAAUCACCA
Molecule: transfer RNA, 77 nt
Filed under: Prevotella sp.
Lineage: Bacteria; Pseudomonadati; Bacteroidota; Bacteroidia; Bacteroidales; Prevotellaceae
Also listed under: 1 other name
Description: tRNA-Arg
Rfam family: tRNA
About the family: Transfer RNA (tRNA) molecules are approximately 80 nucleotides in length. Their secondary structure includes four short double-helical elements and three loops (D, anti-codon, and T loops).
Source: RNAcentral